Non-coding RNA from Oryza nivara, 206 nucleotides. Lineage: Eukaryota; Viridiplantae; Streptophyta; Magnoliopsida; Poales; Poaceae. The record is from Rfam.
AAAAAAACAAACAGUGAAUUUCCGUGUCCAACAUUUAACUGUCUGUCUUAUAUGAAUUUUUUUAUAAUUAGUAUUUUUAUUGUUGUUAGAUGAUAAAACAUGAUUAAUACUUUAUGAGUGAUUCAUCUUUUUUAGUUUUUUCAUAGUUUUUUUAAAUAAGAUGGACGGUCAAACGUUGGAUACGGAAACUCAGGGUUUGUCUUUUU